UUGGUUGUUAUGUGGAUUAUUGUUCCGGGAAUUCAACAGGUUGGACAUCGAGCAGUCGGACUCUACGGCAGCUCAUGUUAAUAUUGAGCAAUUAACUCCUCUUGGUCGACUAUGAGCAUCAACUCCAAGCCGCAAAGCUGCCGUCGUCAUCCAGAGGUUUUUUUAUAUUCGAUUGAGGCCUAUGUUUCCUCAUGGCUGGUGGUUUCAAUCCAAUUCAGCAGUCACCGUUCUGAUCUCCUCCAGCACGCCAGGAAGAAUUCGCCUGAGGGUAUUACUCCGAUGCGGCGCUGCGGGUCACUCGGUAUUUUGCGGGAUCAUUCGACAUCACGAAUGACCUGGGGCAAAAGUAAUAUUGUACCUUAAACUGAAAGGAAAUAUUGCUUUACCCACAUAUCAGCGGCAGAUGUAGAAGUUGUUGGAUUACACAUCAAUCUGGCGGUCUUCCACAGACCACAACACGCUAAGCAUAUAUCAUGUUAUCUAGCAGUCUUUGUAGAACAAUUGUUAUCCUACACUUCCAAUGUGUUGUCUUAUGUUUCCUAUCGUCCCUUUGUCUUCUCCAUAAGGACAUGGCCAUUUAAUUUAAAUUUGUUCACACUGUC
This is a long non-coding RNA of Triticum aestivum (bread wheat), 602 nucleotides long. RefSeq lists it as uncharacterized. NCBI's taxonomy places the organism in Eukaryota, Viridiplantae, Streptophyta, Magnoliopsida, Poales, Poaceae. The record is from RefSeq and is a predicted model, not a curated record. The transcript is spliced from 2 exons.